GUUGAAAAGAACUUUGAAGAGAGAGUUCAAAAGGGCGUGAAACCGCUUAGAAUAAAACGGACGGAGCCGUCAGGAGCUUUCGAGACUCAGUCGACUUAGUAAGCGAAAGUGCGCGCGUUCGGAGAGCAUAAAUAAGUCUCCGUCGUCGUAUCUAGUAUGCUGAUAGUCGGCGCAUUUCUCGAGAGUAAGCAUCGCAACCGAUACGAAAGGCUAGCGAGGCGUUCGGAUUGAGGUCUAAUAUCUUCGGUUAAACGGAGACGUUAGUUGCCAGUCCGUUCGCGCUUUAAUCGCUAGAUCGCAGUAUGUAUCGAGCGCCAAUAAAAAAUACGUUGACCAUAAAGGUUCGUCCGAGCGACGGAUAGUCGGUUAGUUCCCAAAUGGUUGGUUACCUGCUCGCAGGUGCUAGCUAACUUAAUCGACUCUAGAAAUCGUCGGCGACACAUUAACGUAUAGGCGUUAGCGGUGUCAGCGUCGGUCACCCGUCCGACCCGUCUUGAAACACGGACCAAGGAGUCUAACAUAUGCGCGAGUCAAUAGGUGGAAAACCUAAAGGCGCAAUAAAAGUAAAGAUCGUUCUUGAACGGUUAAGGUACGAUCCCGGAUCUUCCUUAAAACAAGAUACGGGCGCAGUACCGUCUCGUCCCUAAGGCACGUCCUAAGGGCGAAGAUAGAGCGCAUACGUUGGGACCCGAAAGAUGGUGAACUAUGCCUGAGCAGAGCGAAGCCAGAGGAAACUCUGGUGGAGGUUCGUAGCGGUUCUGACGUGCAAAUCGAUCGUCAGACUUGGGUAUA
Molecule: ribosomal RNA, 792 nt
Filed under: Nordiidae sp. 1 MP-2015
Lineage: Eukaryota; Metazoa; Nematoda; Enoplea; Dorylaimida; Nordiidae
Description: partial 28S ribosomal RNA
Rfam family: Eukaryotic large subunit ribosomal RNA
Source: RNAcentral